Molecule: long non-coding RNA, 8648 nt
Filed under: Gossypium barbadense (sea-island cotton)
Lineage: Eukaryota; Viridiplantae; Streptophyta; Magnoliopsida; Malvales; Malvaceae
Description: long non-coding RNA (GBAR_LNC006315)
Source: RNAcentral
CUUAAUCUUCUUCUAAGCAUUUUUCCUGCAACACAUAAAAUAGUUAAAAUUUUAGUAAGAAAUAACAACAAUAGUAAAUAUAAAAUAGUUAAAUUAAAUAACAUGACCAAUGUUAAAAUUAUAACAUUAGAUAUAAAUAAAAAAUCAUAAAAUCUUACUACAUCAUAAAUCAUAAAUAUCUUCGUCCACAUCCUGACGAACCCAUUGAAAUUGUGUACUAGUACUUGGGAUAUUUUCAUUUAAGUUUUGUUCUGGAAAAGGCAAAGUUUCUGAUCUUUCAACGAUGCCAUCUCUACUUCCAUUCCCCAUGUCAAACAAGUCUCUAGGGGUGUUUCGGAGUACAACGUACCAACCCUCAUCAAUUGGAUCUUUCGAGUAAAAAACUUGUUUAACUUGAGAAGAAAAUACAUACGGCUCGUCUAUCAAAUGUUCUCCAGUGUGAAUUAAUCGAGAGAAAUUCACCAUUGUAAAACCAAACUGAUCAUUUUUAAUUCCGCGAGCAGUAUUAGCAUCAGCCCAAUCAUAUCGAAAUAAGACAACUUUCCAUUUUCCAUAGUAAUCCAACUCAAUAAUGUCGGUUAGAAGUCCGUAAUACUCCACAUUUCCCUCGACAGGAUUACUGUCCCUAGCACUAGAGUAACUUGUAAUUAAAGAAUUAACAACUACUCCACAAUAUUGAGUCUCCUCAAUCUCUCGCGAUAUUUGGUAUGGAAUCUGAAUCCAUUCAUGAUGAAGCCACUAUAUCUUUUUACUACUAGAUUCGGACCUUGGGAAAGCCAUUUAACUUCGUCAUUAACGACAUUCCCACUCCAAACCUAUUGAAUCAAAAGUAAUUUAAGUAAUUGUAAAUGUUAUGAGAAAACAUUAUUAUUUGUCAAUAAAAUGUUGAGUUGCAUACCGUUUGGCUUAACCAUUCAUGAAAAGAUUCUGCGAAUAACCUAUUAAUCUCGCGAUGUUGUAAUCUUCGUGAGCGUGAAUGAGAUCUUAAGAUUUGUUUGUACUCACUAUGUUAAAAACAUGUUUAAUUCGUUAAAUAAUAAACAAAUCAAAAAAAAUGAAUACUUAUCAUAUUCUAGAACUUACUUGCGUAAUUGUUCAAGUGCAUCGUGGUGGAAAAGAACAUAUCUAUGUGCUUGUAUCCAAGAUCGGUCAUCUAAUUCUGUAAUUUCAACUUUUUCGAUUGGUUCUCCAUAACUUUAAAAUAAAUAAGUUUCGGCCAAGUUAGGAUCAUUGAGUCCGGCAUUUCUACUUGGUCUAUUCAAUCUUGUUUCAACAUCUUCUAAAUAUCUAGAACAGAAUGUCAUACACUCCUCUGCCAAGUAGCCUUCAGCAAUUGAUCCUUCCGGAUAACGCUUGUGACUUCAAUUUGCUUAGGAACCUAAACACCAUAUACAACAUUAUCAAAACUGGUAACUAUAGGUAUAAAGGUGAAUACCUUUGAAAUAAAUUAGCACCUUUCAAUUGGAUACAUCCAACGAUAGAAAACUAGCCCACCAAUUAUUGCUUCACGAGGGAGAUGAAUGACAAAAUGCACCAUAAUAGUGAAGAAGGAAGGUGGAAAGAUCUUCUCCAAAUUGCAUAAUGUCAAAGCGGCUCGAUCUUGUACUUUUUCAAGUUCUUCAACAUGCAGAACUUUGCCACAAAUUGCUUUCAUUAUAUUGGACAGUUCUAUUAUACAGGAUGUUACCUUCUUUGUCAUACAGCACCGUAAAGCAACUGGAAGUAGAUCUUGCAUCAAGAUGUGAUAGUCAUGUGAUUUUAAUGAAUAUAGUCUUCGAUCUUUAAGACUUACACAUCGAGAUAUAUUUGAUGCAUACGCACCCGGAACCUUUAUAUCCUUCAACACCGUGCAGAACAUUUCUUUCUCUUCCUUUGACAUUGCAAAAAUUGUAGGCGGCAACCAAUAUUUUCCAUUAGGAAGUACUUGCGGAUGAAGAUCAUGCCUAAUUCCCAUGUGAACUAAAUCAAGUCGACUUUGAAGAUUAUCUUUUGAUUUACCAUCGACGUUCAAAAUUGUCUAGAUGAUGUUCUCGCAGACAUUCUUCUCAAUAUGCAUCACAUCAAGAUUGUGGCGUAAUAUAUGAUGCUCCCAAUAAGGCAACUAAAAAAAAUAAUUCUUUCUUCCAUAAGUCCGCCUCAUUAAAGUCAUCCUCCUCAUCAGAUUCAUCAUCAGAUUCAUCCCUCGAUCGUCUAUUUGUUUGCCUGUUAGAUGGUUGAUUCAGCUUCCCGUAACUGAAAUCCAUAUCUUUUAACAUGAAUAAGAUUUCAGAUCCAAUGGUCUGCUCAGGAGCUUUUUUCAACUCCUUAGUACCAUCAAAUAAAGCCCUCUGAAAUCUAUAGCUAUGAUUUUCAUCUAACCACCGACGAUGCCCCAUAUAGCAGAACUUCUUCCCAUUAUAUAACCACUGUGAACACGUUUGAGUACCACAACGAGGACAAGCAUAACGUCCUCUGGUACUCCAACCAGAUAAAUUCGCAUAUGCCGAGAAAUCAUUAAUUGUCCACAGCAAAGCAGCACGUAGGUAAAAGUUCUCCUUUCUCAAUACAUCAUACGUCUCAACACCCGCCCAUAAUUGUUUUAACUCUUCAAUAAGUGGCUGCAGAUAUAUGUCAAUAUCAUUUCCGAGGCAUUUCUCUCCGGGGAUAAUCAUAGAUAAUAUCAAAGAAGAUUGCUUCAUGCAGAUCCAUAGAGGUAAAUUAUAAGGAACAAGGACCACAAGCCAAGUACUGUACGAGGUGCUCAUGAUUUUGAAAGGAUUAAAUCCGUCAGAUGCUAACCCUAGCCUUACACUCCGAGGAUCACUUGUAAAGCUUGGAAAUUUAUUGUCAAAUGAUUUCCAUGCUAAAGAAUAUGCAGGAUGCCUUAAUAAUCCAUCAUCCGUUCGUUGAUCAUGAUGUCACGUUAUAAACUCGGUUGUCUUUAACGAUAUGAAUAGCCUUUGAAGCCUUGGGAUUAGCGGGAAAUACCGUAAAAUCUUGUUCGGCUUCCUUAUUGACUGUGGCCCAUAUUCAUCCUCAUUAACAUCUUCUGCAUCUCUAUUCAUCCAAUGAGAUUUACCGCAAACAUGACAAGACUGUUGAUUUCUCCGAUCACCCCAAUACAACAUGCAAUCAUUUGGGCAACUAUGAAUUUUGUUGUACCAAAGGCCCAAAUCUUUUAUCACUUUCUUCUUGUCUUUACAUGAUUGAGGGAUUUUUGCAAACGGGAACAUUUCUCUCAAAAGCUCUAACAGCAUUGUCAAAGAGUUUCUGGUCCACCCUCCCAAACAUUUUAAGUGGAAAAGGCGAAUACAGAAUGACAUUUUCGAAAAUUUUGAUCCCUCAUAAAGUUCUUCAUUCAUUUCGCCAAGUAACGUGUAGAACUUAUCCGCUUCUUCAUUCUGUUGUUCAUCCGGUACACUUCUUAUCGUUUCCAUAAAAGUAUUCCAACCGAUAUUAUAAUCAUCGGAUGCAACAUAGUUUGGUGGAAAUGAUUGAAAACCUUCACUCCGCAUAUUAAAUGCAUCCCGCAUCAUACCUUCCAUGUCAUCUUCUUUAACAUACUGACGGUAUCAUACCUUCCAUGUCAUCUUCUCUAAUAUACUGACGGUAACCACUAUAAGGAUAACCCGGAUUAAUCGUCGAAGAGGCUCCACUAGGUGUACACUCUCCAUGGAAAAUCCAUUUUUUAUACCCCCGAAUGAAGCCAUCAACAAUUAGAUGUUCGUAGAUAACUUCACGAUAAUGCCAAUAGAUAUUGCCACACUUCUUACACGGGCAAAGAAUCAUAUUCUCUUGGCUUGAAUUGUGAAAUGCAAAAUCUAAAAAAGAUUGCACUCCAUUUUGAUACUCGUUGCUUGCCCUUGAGAAAUUCAUCCAAGUCCUAUCCAUUUCGUAGUUGUUGAAGCCUAAAGUUGGCAAUAAGUUACACGGGUAAGUUGUUUAUUAUGUAAGUCUUGAUAUGAUAUAUAUUUAUGUUUUAUGUAAGUUAUGUAGAUUAUGUAAGUUAUGAAAUUUGAACUUUAAACUGUAUGCUUUUAAGGAAAUUAUUAGAUUAAACUACAUGUAUUAGUUAAGUUAUGUAAGUUGUUAUGUACGCUAUGUGAGUUAUGUAAAUUAUGUAAGUUAUGUGAGUUAUGUAAGUUGUUAUGUAAAUUAUGUAAGUUAUAUGAGUUAUGUAAGUUAUGUAAUUUAUUUAAGUAAUGAUCAAUAUUAAUACUAUUUUGAUAAAAAUUAGUUAUAACUUUUAAAGACAUUUAAAAUUAUUAAAUAUUAAAAUCAAACAUUAUUUAUAUAAAACAAUUGUAAUUUGAAUAUAAUAAUAUCAAAAAGAAUCGUAGUUUAAUUUUUAUAUUAUAAUAUAUUUAAACAAUGAUCAAUAUUAUUAUAUUGAUAAAAUUAUUUAUAAGUGGCCCUUCAGUCGUUGAAAUUUUUAAAUCUUUUUUAAGGUCGAUAGAAUUAUUUAUAAGCUCCAUAGAACUUUUUUUGAAAUCUUUUUUUUUUGUACAAAUACAUUUAAAAUUAUUAAAUAUUCAAAUCAAACAUUAUUAAUAUAAAAAAUAGUAAUUUGAAUAUAAUAAUAUCAAAAAAGAAUCGUAGUUUAAUUUUUAUAAGUAAAUUGGAAAUAAAUUAAGGUUAUAUAAAUAUUCAAUAGUAAAUGAGCUCGAUAGAACUUUUUUCAAGUCUUUUUGAAUUUUUUAAGAUUCAUCAUACGUGGCGUUGUUACACCUAGGGAGGAUCCAUUAUAUCUUACAGCUCGAUAUAAGGCAACCCGUCAGGUUUCCAGCCUAUAUACUUUGAAUCUUUAAAAUAUUUAAAAUAAGGUUGGAGAAAAUGUCAGCUAUUGUUGUAAUUUUAAUGGACAAGCAAGCUACAUGGUAAUAAAAUUAAUUCAUACUUAUUCAUACUUAUUCAUACUCCACUCUCACCAGCAAACAGAGGCUGGAGUCAAAAAAGUAAUAUUUGUUAAGUAAUUUAAAGUGAAAAUGCAUAGAAAUAAAGGAAAAAAAUUUAGCAACGAAACCUGUACCUAGAACAGAUGUCAAUGGCUGUGGUGUAUUUAGUUGCACCAAAUAUUAAUUCAGGUGCUCGAUAGUACCUAGAACAGAUGUAAGAUUAUAAGAGUAGCACCAAAUAUAUUUCAGUUUAAGCAAAUAUAAAAACUUUAUCUAUAUCAGUACCAAAUAUUAAUUCGAAGAUUAAAUGGCAGCUUAAGUUGAACCAAUAGUUGCAGGAGGAGCAGGAAGCAGUAACUGAAAUACAUACAACAUUAAUUCACUAAUACAGACACAUGUAAGAUUAUAAGAGUAGCACCAAAUAUAUUUCAGUUUAAGCAAAUAUAAAAACUUUAUCUAUAUUAGUACCAAAUAUUAAUUCGAAGAUUAAAUGGCAGCUUUAGUUGAACCAAUAGUUGUAGGAGGAGCAGGAAGCAGUAACUAAAAUACAUACAACAUUAAUUCACUAAUAUAGACACAUGUAAGAUUAUAAGAGUAGCACCAAAUAUAUUUCAGUUUAAGCAAAUAUAAAAACUUUAUCUAUAUCAGUACCAAAUAUUAAUUUGAAGAUUAAAUGGUAGCUUCAGUUGAACCAAUAGUUGCAGGAGGAGCAGGAAGCAGUAACUGAAAUACAUAACAACAUUAUUUCACUAAUACAGACACAUGUAAGAUUAUAAGAGUAGCACCAAAUAUAUUUCAGUUUAAGCAAAUAUAAAAAAUUUAUCUAUAUUAGUACCAAAUAUUAAUUCGAAGAUUAAAUGGCAGCUUCAGUUGAACCAAUAGUUGCAGGAGGAGCAGGAAGCAGUAACUGAAAUACAUACAACAUUAAUUCACUAAUACAGACACAUGUAAGAUUAUAAGAGUAGCACCAAAUAUAUUUCAGUUUAAGCAAAUAUAAAAACUUUAUCAAUAUCAGUACCAAAUAUUAAUUCGAAGAUUAAAUGGCAACUUCAGUUGAACCAAUAGUUGCAGGAGGAGCAGGAAGCAGUAACUGAAAUACAUACAACAUUAAUUCACUAAUACAGACACAUGUAAGAUUAUAAGAGUAGCACCAAAUAUUUUUUCAGUUUAAGCAAAUAUAAAAACUUUAUCUAUAUCAGUACCAAAUAUUAAUUCGAACAUUAAAUGGCAGCUUCAGUUGAACCAAUAGUUGCAGGAGGAGCAGGAAGUAGUAACUGAUGCUGAAUCUGGUCCAAACAGAAAGUGUUUUUUUUUAGUGAAGCAGCAAUCAAAAGAAAAAUAUGAUAUGCCUUUGUAUAUAUGCCAUAGAUAUUUUGGGUUAAACUCAUCUGAAUUCCUAAAAGCAUUAAAACCAGAUAAUGGAUUCUAAUUUUCCCAAAUAAGCUAAUUUGAUUAUAGAGAGAAAUGAAUCAAGCUAAAAAAUGAAUGUUAUCUGCCAUAAUACGGCUACUUGCUAUAUUAUGCCAUGAUACAAGCAAAUAACAUAAUUAUAACAUGAAAACAGAAAUAUUGCAUAUUGUAUAUAAUACAAAUUAUUUAUGUAUCAAAUUUUAUAAGAAUAUAAAAUAAUUUAAACAUGACCACAUCAUGAGAAAAACGAAUGAACACAGAUGGGUACAAAAGUUGCCAGGUCUACUUCCAUCAAAAUCAGAUAGUAAAAUUCAUAAGUAGUUAAAAACUGUAAGAAUCAAUAAUAACUAACUUUAGCUUGUGAAGCAACAAAAUGACAUAAGCUGACACAGAUGGGAAAACAUUAGCAAGCUUGCAAGCAGUCAACAAAGCAUCUUGAACUCUAGCAAUCUGGUAAGUGUUUGAAGUUAAAUACAUUAGCUUAAGCCAUCAAUAUUUUUGAGGUAUUGAGAAGGAAAUAAAAGGAAAGCUUUCGAUGGUGCAAACACUAACAAUGAAAAUGAAGGAGGCCAUAUAACAAUGAUUUUAGGAAGACUUAAAAAAAAACUUUCUUUUAUAACUUUUCAAAGUAAAUUUUUUUUUAAUUUCAAUCUUGUGGGAAAGCAAAAACUAUAUAUGUAGUAAUCCAUAAUAUAUGCAUAUACUUGAGAGAGUGCUUUUAGUUGGAGUGGGAAACCAAUAAUAACAAGUAAUGAGAUUUCUAUCAAUCAAAUCAUCCCCUUUGAAGGCAUUGUAAUAACAAAAUCUGCAGUAUAUCAUCACUAGGAAUGAUAAAAAAAUGAAAAAUCAAAACUCAAAAGACAUACCCUUAAUCAUAAGCUUGUGGAAGUUUAAAGUAGCUUAUUCCAAACAUAGCAGCAACCAGCUGUUAUUGACUUAAAAGGAUAUGCCAAAAAGCUGCAAUUAGAUACUAAUAUUUUACCCUUGAGUGCAUAUAAAUCUUUUUUUUUUUACAAUUUAUUGCAUAAAGCUUGUGGAAGUUUAAAGUAGCUUAUUCCAAACAUAGCAGCAACUAGUUGUUAUCGACUUAAAAGGAUAUGCCAAAAAGCUGCAAUUAGAUACUAAUAUUUUACCCUUGAGUGCAUAUAAAUCUCUUUUUUACAAUUUAUUGCAUAACAUUUCCGAGUCCUAGACUCGUUAAUCCACAAUUGGCCCCUAAGGCUUGUUUUCAAUUCCUUUAACAUAACAUUUCAAACAUAUCGAUAUCAAAACAUUCUAUUAUCAAUCAAAUUUCCAAGUUACCAUUUAUAAUGUCAAUUAAUUCAUUCAUUCUAGGGUCCUUCGACUUGUUUGAAUCCACUUCAGCCCCUAAGGCUCAGUUUCAUUUGAUUUACAUACUUUGUCAUAUGGUUACUACAUUUAGUUUACAUUUAAUCACCGAACAUAUUAAUAAAAUCCUAAUAACCUAACUUGGAUUUUCAAAACAGAUACUCGAAUUAGUCAAUCUGCAUCUCAAACUGACACUGUAAUGUAUCAUCCGCAAAAUAUCUUAAUAAAACCAGACAUCAAAAGAAGCAAGUGUUCCUUCCCGUCCCUUGCUUUACCCCCAUUUUUACUCUGAGAAUAUCUUAAUAGUUUUGGUUCUCAUUUAUGUCAAACAUCUCAAUGAAAAAUAGUUAGAUUGUUAUAAACCAACAAAUGAUAGCAUAUGAAAAACCCAUACAUACCAGUAUGAAGAUAAAUCUCUCGAUUCAUCUACUUCAUGCUUUCAACAGCCAGACAUGAAAGUGAACAAUUGACCGCUUUCAACAUGCAAGCGCCAUUAAUAGAAAUACAGUUUAAAUUGUAUAGCCAUUGCAACCUUGCUAGCUUUGAACAAACUAAUUCAGUGGUGUACACACCUUUGAAAAGAAUUGGAAACUUCAAUUUAACUGGAAUAUAUAAAUAUUUACCCCAGAAAAGAGGAUAAGAAACUUUAAUCGAGUUUGCAAAAAAGGAGAUUUAUAUGCAUACCCUUGCUUGCUAACAUUGAAAAUAUAUGAAAAUGAUUGAAAUUCCUCCAAAACCCAUAGGUUAAACAAAGAAGAAAUAAAUUGUUCUCAAAUAAAAGAACAACUUACCUGAUAUUUUACACUCUGAUGAAGCAAAUGAGUAACCUCCAAAACAGAAAAGCGAUUCAAGUCAAAUGUAUGUUAGCUCGACAAUAAAUCUUAACCGUGUCUGCUGAUUCUUUUGAGGGAAAUUUAGGGAUUAGAAGAAAUUAGAGAAUUGGGGAAAUCUGUUUUGGGUUGGGGGGAAUAGGUGUCGGGCAUGAGAAAGAAGCAAACAUUUCAAGGAAAAUGACACCGUUCAAGGUAAACAAUU